UAUUCUACUGUUUGCUGCUACCCCAGUGAAUGGUGUUGGCGGUGAAUGUUCAGAAAACGACAGUUCAGUGAAUGGAAGCAUAUCAUCUUUGAAUAUUGUGCUCCUGUUCAAUAGCACAGUUUCAAUAAUUACAUAACAAAGUACAGGCCAAUGUUGAUUUUUAUACUGAGGUACUAAAUACGGCCUGGUAACUGCCUAUGGCUGAUCUUCCGGGGAUGUCUUUGGUGUUCUGAGAUAAAACUUGUGGCUCGUGUUUUAUUCACCGCUUUGUCUUACAGAGUUAACGGUUGCGUUUCCAAUAAGAAAGCAAAGUCAGUGCUCAAAUGUCCUGGCAUUCUCACGACCAACCUCCUCUCUUCAUCGAACACCUCAGGGCUUUUCAUGUCUGGGAAACCGUAACCAGGCCCCUUCCCACUACGUCUCUCAACUUCUUCAGAUCCUAUACUAGCCCUUCAGUCAGUCAAAAACUCUUCAGCAUGGAGGUAAAUAGGCCCGCGCCGAGAACCUAACAGCAAAAGAGAAAGCGAAUGCGCGCGUGGCCCUCUGGGAAUUGUAGUGUCGGGAGGCACAAUCGGGCAGGAAACCGACUUCUCAGGCGCCCAAGAGUCCGAGUUCGAGGAGGCGGGGCGAGCGGAGAGACGUAAAGCCCGCGCGCAGCCUUCUGGGAGCUACAGUAUUAAGCUCUGGUGUUGCUCUCAACUUUCCUCCUGCGGUUCGUGACAAGUGACGAACCGGGGUCGAUCUUGGUCUAGGCUCGCACUCCGAGCCUGUCGGCCACAGAAUGAGGGUCAGGACCAAGGGGCGAGACCGGAAGCGCACGCACGGGCCUCUGGGAGGUGUAGUCGGCGCGCAGGCGCAAUCCCAGCUAGUAGCGGCGGCCUUUGUUUUGCGAUUCGGCGAUUUAGAAAUCAGACAAGAAAACAGAUUUUCAGAUCCAAAACAAAGCAUCUCUGGAAAAUAGUAGUUUUUCUGAUGGGAAAACUGGGGGUGGUGUAUGGCACUUCAAGAAUAAGAACAUUGUAGGUCCCUGAGAACACAGGUGUGAGAGGUAAGUGGAGCAGGUGAUUUUCAUUCCUAUGAAAAUACCCACUUAGAAGAAAGAGAAUGGGGCUGAGGAAAACUUGAGUCUGAGCACUGAUCUCUCAGCUCAACCAAUGACUUUUGAAAAGCAAGGCCCCCUCACAUGUGGGGAACACAUGGAAAGGGAGAAGCUGGACUCAAAUGAUCAAUCAAAAACUAAUACAAAAAAGAAACUCUACAAAUGCCAGAAAUUUCUAAAGGACUUUAGUCACAGUUCAGCACUCAUUGAACAUCACCAAAUACACACAGUAGAAGGAAGACUUUAUUCAUGCUGUGAAUAUGGAACGGUUAAGCACUAACCAAACACCAUAAACAAUCAACACCAAUGAGAAACCGUACAAAUAUUCUUAGUGUGGAAGGGCCUGUAACCAGAUUGCCCCACUGAUCCAGCACCAGAGAACUCACAAAGGUGAGAAGCCAUAUGAGUGAAGUAAAUGUGGGAAAUCCUUCAGCUUCAGCUCCUCCUUCAACCAGCAGACUCACACAGUUAACAAGCCCUAUGAGUGCAGUGAGUUAUGGAUCAUCAAAUUAUCCACCUCACCCAGCACCUACGAACCCACAAUGGAGAGAAGCCCUGUCAUUGGGAAUUUGGCAAGGCCUUGAGCCAUAUAGCUCAUCUCUGACCAAACACCAUCAAAUCCACACUCGAGAGAAGCCUUAUGGAGGCUAUGAGUGGGAGAAAGCCUUCACACAGGAGAAAAGCCCUGUGAAUGCAGUGACUGUGGCAAGGCCUUCAGCCACAGCUCAACUCUAACAGAAUAUCAGAAAACUCAUAAUGGGGAAAAGCUAGCUUGCUCCCCUCAUUUAGCAUCAGAGGAGCCACACAGGAGAGAAGCUCUAUGAAUGUAGUGAGUGUAGAGCCUUCAGCCAGAAUUUCUUUCUCAUAGAACAGCAGAGGAUUCACACCAAAGAAAAGCCUUAUGGGUGCAGUGAAUGUGGGAAAUCCUUCAGCCACAGCUCAUCACUCAGCCAGUAUGAAAGGACACACACUGGGAAAAAGCCUUAUGAGUAUCAGGAUUGUGGCAAGGCCUUCAAUUAGAGCACCCAAUCUUACUCAGCACCAGAGGAUCCAUAGGAGAGAAACCAUACAAGUACAAGGACUGUGACAAAGCCUUCACACACAGCUCUUCUCUUACCGAUCACCAGAGAACUCAUACCUACUCCACAUGGGGACGUCUUAAGCCAAUCCAUCCAGUACUAGACUUACCACUGUCAUUCUCAUGAGAACACAAAUAUACAUAAAGUUGUCAUGUACCACACUCUCCUCAGAGGUAUCAGAAAUGACAGUGACCAUCAAGCUCCAAGUCAUUCCUGGAUCUAAACAGUAAGAAAACGUGGACACCAUCAACACGAAUCCAUCAACCUUGAAUGUUCAUUAAUGUAUUCUAGUAUCUACAAAGAAGAAAUUGAACAAGUACAGAUUUGGGCAAAUUAAACUUGAUGGCUUUACAAAUGAAAAACGCCUGAAAAUAGCUCCCAGUUUCUACCAUGGGUCUCUCCAUCCACCUUCCCAACCACUAGCCUUUUCUGUUGUGUCCAGGCAGCAGAAAGCAGAUUGACUGUUUCCAUCAGGGAUCCCUCUCUGGAAGAAGGAAUUAAAACAGGAGAUAGACUCCCCUCAGGAAUUAAGAGCCUUCGAGAUAUCCUGGGAGAGUGGGGAGAGGAACUAUGACAUGGAGUAGAGGUCCUUGUUGGCUAAAUUAGUAAUUAAGAGCCUGCACAGACCCAGGUUUUGACUGCUGUGGGUACCAUACACACCAUGAUGGAUAAGAACUGGACAUCGUGCUCCUUCCUACCCCAACCUGCGCUACCACCCUGAAGGAUAUACACCCAAUGGCCAACCAACCAAGAUCUCACUUCAGUAACCAGAGCUUAGAUACUGUACCUGCUUGGUUUGUUCAUCUACAAACAUCCCAGUUAUCAUCACCCACCUGCUAGAGAAGCAAGUGGAGUUUCUAGUACUUUUCACCUCCCGUCUGCCAACUCUGCCCAACCUAGGAGGCCUCCAACCUGUGAGCAUCAGCUUUCUCCCAAUCCGAUUAUGUACACCAGAAUGUGCGAAGCAAAGCUGUCUAUGAACUACCAGAAACAGGUCUCAGAGUCAACAGAAGCAUGGAAGGGCUGUUUGCUUCCCUUCUCUUUCAGUCAGAGAAGAGUAAGUAGUAUCAUCAUCAUCCUUAAUAAAAACUAUCAACAUCGGUUAACGGCUGUUUGGUCUCGAGGAUGUCUGGACACAGCAAGCAGGGCGGCAAGGCUCACGCCAAGGCCAAGACUCGUUCCUCCUGGGCCGGCCUGCAGUUCCCUGUGGGCCACGUGCACCGGCUCCUCCGCAAGGGCAACUACUCUGAGCAGGUGGGCACCGCUGCCCGGGUGUACCUGGCGGCGGUGCUCGAGUCCCCCAUUUGUACCUGGCGGCCGUGCUGGAGUACCUGACGGCCGAGAUCUUGGAGCGGGCUGACAACGCGGGCCCAUGACAACAAGAAGCAUCAUGCCGGGCCACCUGCAGCUGACCAUCCGCAAUGAGGAGGAGGAGCUCAACAAGCUGCUGGGCCGCGCUUGACCAUUGCGCAGGGCGGCAUCCUGACCAACAUCCAGGCUGCUGCCCAUGGAGAUAGAGAGCCACCACAAGGCCAAGGGAAAAUAAGUCAUUUAAAACAAAACAGUAAAGGCUCUUUUCAGAGCCACCCACACUGUCUUUAAAGAACUGAACAUUUUGGAUGUGUAACUUUAUAUGUAAUUUCCUCUAGCCAAUUGUUGUCUUAAAGUUGACCAUUAGAUUUUUGAGCCUUACUGUGGGAGGAUUCGUUUUCCCCCUCUUGUUCAUCGUCGAAUAGAAUCCGUUAACAGUUAACCCACAGCUUUCCACACCAGAAUCAGUGCUUUGGGGUAAAUGGGGUUGGAAGAAACUACACUGAUGGGCAGAAGAAUCAAUGUGACAAUUUGAACGCCUUUUUGUUGUUUAAUAUUCCUCCUAAACUUCAUAAUCCCUUCACACAAGUUUGAAAAAUUUAAAAUACACUAGUUUUUGCUUUAAAAAGAACUAUCAACAUCAAAACUAAAAACAUCACCAUUAGUAACAGUAGGUGUAACAAUAAGCUCGGGAAUUGCAACAUAAGGCACCUGAGAACAACAGAUCCGGACUGAACACCAUGGUCCCAAAGCAACACAUACUUCACCAUAGCUCUGUAAGGCAGGACUUACAUAUACUUUGUGAGGAACUGAAGCCAAGAGGCUAAUCCAUUUCAGUUCACAACCACAUGAGCAGUCCCAUGAAUAAAAUCUAACAAGACAAAUAUGUGCUUUCAUUCAUCUUGCCAAGAAAUACGUAGACACAGUCCAAUAUUUCCAUACAAUUUUUACUUUCGUUUAGUUGAGAUUGCAGUUCUUGCAUAGGCCCUCUAAAAUGGGGAUUUCCCAUUUAAAUGAGCACCUAUUUACCAGACUUUUUUGUUGUUUAUUUGUUUAUUUGUUUUUUUAUACAUAGAAAGUUCUAAAUGCCCACAUGGAUGUAAGUGUAUGUGUACAAUACUAAUCACAAAAUGUACUUCAGUAGAAGCCCCAUAAGGACGCAGAUGUUCUUUCUAAGCAGUUUGUUAAGCCCUGUGUGGUAACAUGCAAUCAAUCCCAGCACUCACAAGCUGAGACAGGAGGAUCAGGAAUUCAAGGCCUGUCUUCAAAAGGAAAAAAAAUUAAUUAGCUGUUAAGAACCUAUGCACUCCUCUGUGCAGCUUCCUUCUAAUAAAUGAACAUUUUCAGCUUUCCAAUAAAAUCUUAAGAAUUACAUCUGAUAUGCCAAUCAUAGGAAGAUUACUAAUAUCCAAGUGGGAUGGACUGUAUCAAACAGUGGCACACAGACUUAACCAUCUUUAGUUCCAAUAGAUCUGCCAGUGUUGUUACCAUUUCAGCAACAGCCCUCUUGAAAGUUCUCAGAUAGAGGAAUCUUACUAGUCAUUCAAUUCCUCCUUCUGAUGCUACCAUUUCAUUAGGUGACUGAUGGGAAGAUGUAUGCUGUACAUGCUACUAAAAGAAAAGACUUACGAUUUAAACCAUGAUGCUACUGGAAGGUUAAAAUAUGAAAGGACACACUUAAGAGUAAAUGAAAUGUAGUUCAGUCCUCAGAGGGCUAACUUCCAGAUACCAAAGCCCCAUAAUUUACAAUGGCAUUAUGCCCCUCUUCUGGCAUGAUAUAGGGAUAUUUUAUUUGUACUGAAACGUGAUUUUAUUUGUAUGUUAAUAAAUAAAGUUUCCUGGGGAUCAGAGCUAAUAGCAAGCCAUAGCAGAAGCUGGGCGGUGGUGGUGUACGCCUUUAAUCCCAGCACUUGGGAGGCAGAGGCAGGCAGAUCUCUGUGUGGUCAAGGAUACAGCCAGCAUGGAAACACACACCUUUAAUCUCGAUACCAACCAUAGAAGACCUGGAAGUCUGUAUAGAUGGGCAGUGACGAGGAGGUCAUGUCGUUGGGUUUACAACCAAUGAGAAGGCAGAAUAAAAAGUCAGUAAAAAUGACAAACACACAGGAUGUAAGUCUCUUGCCGAGGAGGACAGCAGUGGCAGUGAAGGGUAAGGUUUUUAGCUCUUAGCUUUUGCUCUGACCUCUUGGGCUUUUAACUUUGCAAUUGGCUUUGUGUUUCUUGUUUAAUAAGAUUGUUCAUCUACAUGCCCCAGUAGACUUAAUGUUCUAGUUGAAAGUAUAAAUAAUAAAAUACAUUUAAGGUAGGUCUGGUGGUUCAUUCUUGAAACACCAGCACUGGAGACACAAUGAGACAAGAUGACUGCUGUGAAUUUGAGACCAGAAGGGCUACAUACUGAGUUCCAGGUCAGCUAAGGCAACAGACUUGGUUUCAAAAAUCCAAAUAAAGCCUAGCGAGAUGGCUCAGCCUAGGUAAUGGAACCUGCUGCCAAGACAGACAACCAGAGUCUCGUCUCCAUAACCCAUGUGGUAGAAGGAAAGAACCAGUUCUCACAGUUGCCAUCUGACAUCCAGAUGGGCACAACAGCUUUGUCACGCACAAAACAAAUAAAUGUAAUGAAAUAAAUGAGGUAAAUAAAUAUAGUAAUACACAUAAGGGGUUAAGGAUGAAGAGUAGGAGAGAGCAUGUGUCUAUCAUGUGUGAAUCCCAUAAACAUCUCCAAAAACAACGCAUUUAAAACCAUUAUAAAGCCUACGAAAACCAUUAUAGCUUAGCCCAGCCUAUCUGAAACACGCCCAGAACAUUUACGUUAGCCUCCAGUUGGGCAAAGGCAUCAAAGGCAAAGCUGGCUAAUAGUAAGUGUUCAAUCAUUCAUUACAUGAAAUACUGUACUGAAAACAUAUAGCAGUGCUUUCACAUCAUGGUACAAGCAAUGCAUGGUUAGGUCAAACGACUGUAAAUCAAGGGGGGUCUACUCACUUGUUAAAAAUAGAAAUCUACAAAAAAGCUGAGUGUGGAUUUAUACGGGGACAAAUGUCCUACAAGAGUGAGUCUAUAGAACUCAUUCCCUAAUGCACUAGAGUUGUAUGUAAUGCAGUAGCCACGUCGGUGUAGUAACAUGAAACCUUUUCUCUCUCUCCUUUUCUUCCUUCCUUUCUCUAAUGUGAAUAUCAGAGAACCAGAAGCUGCAUAUGUGGUUCAUACUUUAUUUUCAUCAAAUAAAGCAGCUAUGGAAGAGCAGCCCUCGGGAGGCUUUCCCCACAGCGCAGGGCGUCUUCUGUUUCUACCGUAAGGGUUUUUAAUCUUCAUUUUUACUUUAUUCACAUGUGUGGCACAUGCAUGAGUGAGUGUGUCUGUGCACUUGAGUGUCUAUAGAUACCAGAAGACAGAGUUGGAUCCCCUGGAGCUGGAACAGAAGUGGUUGUGAGCUGCCCAAUGUGAAUGCUGGGAACCAAACUCAGGUCCCCUGGAAGAGCAGCAAACAUUCUUAACCAAUGAGUCAUCACUCCAGCCCCACUGAGUUUUCUUAAAACACCAAGAAAUGCAUCAUCUUAACACAGUUCUCUACAUUAUCCCUCUAUGGAUUAAUUCCAAAUGCAUUCUUUCAACAGAAGCAUUCCAGCAGAUAUUGCUGGCCCUUAAACUGAUUUUGUUAACUGAGUCUACUGAUGGGAAAAAAGAGCCAGCCUUCUAAAUAAAAUGCUUUGCAUGAUCAUUCCACGCCUAUGAUUUUAUUCAGUGGUGCUGAGGAUUGAAGUCAGGACUUCACAAAUGCUAGGAAAGCCCUCCCUGCCACUUAACUAUAAGCAUACCCCUAAAAAGCCUAUUUAUAAACGUUUACAUAUCAGAAAAAUGUAGUGAGAAAUAAAGUCUUUCUCUUCUCUCAA
Molecule: long non-coding RNA, 7376 nt
Organism: Peromyscus californicus insignis
Lineage: Eukaryota; Metazoa; Chordata; Mammalia; Rodentia; Cricetidae
Exons: 3
Source: RefSeq, a predicted model, not a curated record